RNAcentral lists this ribosomal RNA (419 nucleotides) under uncultured bacterium. Its description in RNAcentral is "partial 16S ribosomal RNA". It matches the Rfam family "Bacterial small subunit ribosomal RNA", at positions 363 to 774 of the family's 1533-position model. The record is from RNAcentral.
CUUCCACAAUGGACGAAAGUCUGAUGGAGCAACGCCGCGUGAGCGAAGAAGGUUUUCGGAUCGUAAAGCUCUGUUGCGAGGGAAGAACAAGAACGGGAGUAACUGCCCGUACCUUGACGGUACCUCGUCAGAAUGCCACUGCUACCUACGUGCACGCAGCCGCGGUAAUCAGUAGGUGGCAAGCGUUGUCCGGAAUUAUUGGGCGUAAAGCGCGAGCAGGCGGUCCUUUAAGUCUGAUGUGAAAGCCCACGGCUCAACCGUGGAGGGUCAUUGGAAACUGGAGGACUUGAGUACAGAAGAGGAAAGCGGAAUUCCACGUGUAGCGGUGAAAUGCGUAGAGAUGUGGAGGAACACCAGUGGCGAAGGCGGCUUUCUGGUCUGUAACUGACGCUGAGGCGCGAAAGCGUGGGGAGCAAACA